AGGGGACAACAGUUGGAAACGACUGCUAAUACCGCAUACGAUCUAAUCUCGGCAUCGAGGAUGGAUGAAAGGUGGCCUCUAUUUAUAAGCUAUCACUGAAGGAGGGGAUUGCGUCUGAUUAGCUAGUUGGAGGGGUAACGGCCCACCAAGGCGAUGAUCAGUAGCCGGUCUGAGAGGAUGAACGGCCACAUUGGGACUGAGACACGGCCCAG
RNAcentral lists this ribosomal RNA (212 nucleotides) under uncultured bacterium. Its description in RNAcentral is "partial 16S ribosomal RNA". It matches the Rfam family "Bacterial small subunit ribosomal RNA", at positions 138 to 334 of the family's 1533-position model. The record is from RNAcentral.